GUGGUCUAGUUGUUAGAACGUCCGCCUCGGAUGCCGGAGGUCGCAGGUUCGAACCCCUGCUAAGUCA
This is a non-coding RNA of Potamilus streckersoni, 67 nucleotides long. Lineage: Eukaryota; Metazoa; Mollusca; Bivalvia; Unionida; Unionidae. The record is from the annotation of a GenBank genome assembly.